GUGCUCGCUUCGGCAGCACAUAUACCAACACUGGAACAAUACAGAGAAGCGUAUCAUGGUCCCUGCACAAGGAUGACAUGCACAUUCAUGAAGCAUUCCAUAUUUUU
RNAcentral lists this small nuclear RNA (107 nucleotides) under Microcebus murinus (gray mouse lemur). Lineage: Eukaryota; Metazoa; Chordata; Mammalia; Primates; Cheirogaleidae. The record is from RNAcentral.